Podarcis lilfordi (Lilford's wall lizard) is the source of this 72-nucleotide non-coding RNA. The record is from the annotation of a GenBank genome assembly. Lineage: Eukaryota; Metazoa; Chordata; Lepidosauria; Squamata; Lacertidae.
GGGUCCACAGAUCAGUGGUAGAGCAUCUGCUUUGCAUGCAGAAUGUUCCAUGUUCAAUCCCUGGCAUCUCCA